AUGAACGUUGGCAGCGUGGAUUAGGCAUGCAAGUCGAGCGACAAGGUACUUCGGUACUGGAGGAGCGGCAAACGGGGUAGUAAGGCAUCGGAACGUACCCUCUUGUUCAGGAUACCCGCGGGAAACUGCGGUUAAUACUGGAUAAUCCCGAAAGGGCAAAGGUCCGCCGCGGGAGGAGCGGCCGAUGUGAUAUCAGGUAGUUGGUAGGGUAAUGGCCUACCAAGCCGAAGACGUCUAGGGGAUGUGAGAGCAUGAUCCCCACCACUGGGACUGAGAUACUGCCCAGACACCUACGGGUGGCUGCAGUCGAGAAUCUUCGGCAAUGGGCGCAAGCCUGACCGAGCGACGCUGCGUGUGGGAUGAAGGCCCUUGGGUUGUAAACCACUGUCAGAGGGGAUGAAAGCGUAAGCUUGACAGAGCCUCAGAGGAAGCGCGGGCUAAGUUCGU
This 447-nucleotide ribosomal RNA is filed under the name uncultured bacterium. Its description in RNAcentral is "bacterial SSU rRNA". It matches the Rfam family "Bacterial small subunit ribosomal RNA", at positions 29 to 506 of the family's 1533-position model. The record is from RNAcentral.